GAUGAACGCUGGCGGCGUGCCUAAUACAUGCAAGUCGAGCGAACAGACGAGGAGCUUGCUCCUCUGACGUUAGCGGCGGACGGGUGAGUAACACGUGGAUAACCUACCUAUAAGACUGGGAUAACUUCGGGAAACCGGAGCUAAUACCGGAUAAUAUAUUGAACCGCAUGGUUCAAUAGUGAAAGACGGUUUUGCUGUCACUUAUAGAUGGAUCCGCGCCGCAUUAGCUAGUUGGUAAGGUAACGGCUUACCAAGGCGACGAUGCGUAGCCGACCUGAGAGGUGGGCCGCCAACCGUGGAGCUGAGCCCGGGCCCAGCGUCCGAGGGGGGGAAGAAUGGGGAAUCUGCCGCAAAGGGGGAAAGCCUGGCGGGACCACCCCGGGGGGAUUAAUGAGGGUCUCGGGAUCGAAAACCUGUUUUAUGGGGGAAAAAAAAAUUUGUAAGUAAUUAUGCACGUCUUGACGGUACCUAAUCAGAAAGCCACGGCUAACUACGUG
This 497-nucleotide ribosomal RNA is filed under the name uncultured bacterium. Its description in RNAcentral is "partial 16S ribosomal RNA". It matches the Rfam family "Bacterial small subunit ribosomal RNA", at positions 28 to 507 of the family's 1533-position model. The record is from RNAcentral.